GUCUCAGUAGCGUAGUGGUUAACGCACGGCCCCGGUUAGGCUCGAGAGGCGGGAUCGAAUCCCGCUGAGAUG
RNAcentral lists this transfer RNA (72 nucleotides) under Nippostrongylus brasiliensis. It matches the Rfam family "tRNA". From Rfam's summary of the family: Transfer RNA (tRNA) molecules are approximately 80 nucleotides in length. Lineage: Eukaryota; Metazoa; Nematoda; Chromadorea; Rhabditida; Heligmosomidae. The record is from Rfam by way of RNAcentral.